This 733-nucleotide unclassified non-coding RNA is filed under the name Zea mays. RNAcentral's name for it is "misc RNA Zm00001eb275830". Lineage: Eukaryota; Viridiplantae; Streptophyta; Magnoliopsida; Poales; Poaceae. The record is from RNAcentral.
GUCGAUACAAAACUUUUCUCGUGAACCCGACGCAUCUUUCUUUCUUCAUUUUAUUGUCUACUUUAUUUUUCUUUGGAGUACCUACGUUUCAAAUUAUAAUGAAUCGUUCCACUUUUUCUAGAUACGUGGCUUAAAUAAGCCAUUCUUGCACAUAACACAUGUCUAAAUACAUAAUAAAAACUACAUAGCUAAAGAACCCAGUACAACUAAGAACGGCAGGAGUAUAUAAGCAUGCAUUUUAUAUAUAAUUAUAUGCUGUGAUACAUUCGUGUUUAGGAGGAGAAUUGCCAAAUUUUCCAAUGCUUGUUGAAAUAUGUUUUGCGUUCGUAAAAAAUGCUGCCCAUAUAACCUUAAGACUGCCAUUAUAGUCGUCAGAAAUACACUAAGAAUGUCGUCGUCAUCAUCAUCAUCAUCAUCAUCAUCAUCAUCAUCAUCAUCAUCAUCAUCAUCAUCAUCAUCAUCAUCAUCAUCAGUAACGAAACCAGGGUAUCGCUUGGCCAUCUCUUCAACGAUAGCAACAGGGCUUGCCUAUCUCUCCAAAGACAGCGGUAUCCUCACCCAUCAUGCAUCCCCGUCUUCAGCUCAACACCAACAGUAUCUCUAUCGCUAUAUGUACAUACCCUCUCUGAAAAUGUUGAUUUCGCUGGGCUUGCCAUCAACCAUCCACAGCCAUCAUUCAUUCGCAGCUCGUUUGUGCCUUGAUCAAUUUGCUGAAAUUCUGUGUCCCCCUCAC